AAAACCAACAACUGAUGCAUCGUCUCUUUCUCUCUCUCAAAACCGUAAUCGAUCGAAUCAUCGUAAUUUCUCCUCCUGCAAUCGAUCGAACCUAGUGGUCAAUAGUUCCUUGAAGAAUCAUCAAGUUCUUGUAGCGGCGGUGGCAUGGUGUUCUGGUGAGCCAUUGGUUAUGGAGGAAGUUGUAGUGAGUCCACCUCAACCUCUUGAGAUCAGGAUUAAGUGGUUUGUACAUCUCUCUGUCGUAGUGACCUCUCUGCUUGGGAGUCUCAGUCUCUUUUGCCACGAAUUUUUGGUCAUGAAGCUGCACGGUAAGUUGCUUUUGUUCAUAAUAUCAUUUUUUUAAAAUUCCCUCAAGGUUCCCUCAGGGUUCACACGGCUCAAGCCAAAAAAAUUCCUCCAUGGGAAAUCAAUCACGUGGCCAA
Camelina sativa (false flax) is the source of this 422-nucleotide non-coding RNA. NCBI's taxonomy places the organism in Eukaryota, Viridiplantae, Streptophyta, Magnoliopsida, Brassicales, Brassicaceae. The record is from RefSeq and is a predicted model, not a curated record.